This 332-nucleotide unclassified non-coding RNA is filed under the name soil metagenome. RNAcentral's name for it is "partial contains 5.8S ribosomal RNA, internal transcribed spacer 2, and large subunit ribosomal RNA". The stretch from base 1 to 120 matches the Rfam family "5.8S ribosomal RNA", at positions 35 to 154 of the family's 154-position model. The record is from RNAcentral.
GAUGAAGAACGCAGCGAAAUGCGAUAAGUAAUGUGAAUUGCAGAAUUCCGUGAAUCAUCGAAUCUUUGAACGCACAUUGCGCCCGCCAGUAUUCUGGCGGGCAUGCCUGUUCGAGCGUCAUUUCAACCCUCAAGCACAGCUUGGUGUUGGGACUCGCGUUAAUUCGCGUUCCCCAAAUUGAUUGGCGGUCACGUCGAGCUUCCAUAGCGUAGUAGUAAAACCCUCGUUACUGGUAAUCGUCGCGGCCACGCCGUUAAACCCCAACUUCUGAAUGUUGACCUCGGAUCAGGUAGGAAUACCCGCUGAACUUAAGCAUAUCAAUAAGCGGAGGA